AGAAAUUACAUAAAAAUAACAUCAAAACAAUAUAAAAACAUAACAUACAAAUAUUAAAAAAUUAACAAUAUCUUGAUAAGAGUAAAAUAUAAAUAUACAUAUCUUUAUAUAUUAAAAGUGCCUAUGUAACGGCAAUUCUUGGUUUAACAGAAUAUUCUUUACAAAUAAAAGAAUAUUCUGUUAAAUUUAACCCCAAAAAAAUCAAUAUUCUGUUAAAUUCGUCCCUACCGCACGUGCGAGCCACAGGAUUCAUCCCUGAAUUGGAUUUGGGGAUAGCAUUCUUCAAAUUAGGGCUUCCAUUUCAUUACACGAGAGAGUCUUCUGUCUCUCUACAAACCCCCAAACCCCAACAAACACAAGCUAAACCUUCUCAAUCCCUCUCUUUCGCGACCCAGAAAUGGCCGCCACAGCCUCCUCCUCAUAAACCCAUUCACCUUGUUCCUCCUCUUCUUUCGCAGAUUCCUCUCUUUGGGUUUUUUCUUCAUCGAUCUUCAGUACCGGUUGUUUGGGGGUUUCUUUUCGGAUGAAAGUUAGGGUUUUAGGGUUUGGUUUUACUGCAAUCUUACCGGACCAGAAAAAACUCGAACUAUAGAUACAAGCCCUGUCGUAAAAAUUUGAUCUUUUUAUUGUUUAGGUUAAACUUCCUUAGGCUUGGAUUGUCGUGGGUCAGCUAGAAAUUUUCCGAGCAAAUCACAUGUCUGACCAUUAAAACCAUCUCUCCAAAGCCUAAUCUAGAAUCCGAUCCUGUAAAAACUAAAACCCCACUUGGGUUUUUUCCUACUUUUGUUUGUUUUCUCUUUACAGACUUUUUUUUUUCUCCCAAGUGAGUUUCUUUCUUCUUUUCCUCUGAUUCAAAUUUGGAUCGUUUUUCUUUUCCUCGAAUCAGGUUGUUUUUAGUAUUUCCGUGGUUUCGUGACGAAUCUCUCUCUCUCCGGGUCGGUUGUGGGUUUGGUAAAGACUUGAUUGGGUUUUUUAUUUUUGUUUCUUUACUUGGUUUGAACUUUCUUUCCCUUCGAUGAUUCCUAGGGAAAUUGAUAAGUUCGCUUUAAUCGAGUAGAGACCCAAAUUAGAAUUUUAUCGUGUUACGGCCUUCCUUCAUUUUUACUCUUUGCUUUUCUCGAUUGGAGGCGUACUUUGUAUUUUGAAGCUUUUGGAUAUUAGAGCUAUCUAGGCGCGAGCAAAGCAUGACACAACAAAUACAAAUUGUUCUUGGCCGUGUUACUGGGGUACAAUAUCGCAAAAGUUAGUAAUUGCUUGAUAUUCACGAGCAGCACGCAUUGUGAUAGGGACCGUACGCAAUACUUGUUGAUACGGAAGGAUCAGAAGUCCGUACCAUACAUCAACCAAGCAUUGAUAUAUUUGAGGCAUUUGAUGAGCUUCUUCUUAUGAAACGAGAAGAGAAAAUUUAAUGCUACGCUCGACUCAACUCUCUCUACUCACUUGCUUUUUUGUUCUCUCAAGCCAAACGCAUUAAACAAAAAAGGACAAAUAAAUAAAAUAUUUGGUGGUCGAAAAUUCGAAGAAUCUUUUUUAGUUGAGCUUAAUAUCGAAGUAGGAAAUGGUUAAC
Long non-coding RNA from Cannabis sativa, 1567 nucleotides. RefSeq lists it as uncharacterized. The transcript is spliced from 4 exons. Lineage: Eukaryota; Viridiplantae; Streptophyta; Magnoliopsida; Rosales; Cannabaceae. The record is from RefSeq and is a predicted model, not a curated record.